RNAcentral lists this ribosomal RNA (255 nucleotides) under uncultured bacterium. RNAcentral's name for it is "partial 16S ribosomal RNA". It matches the Rfam family "Bacterial small subunit ribosomal RNA", at positions 524 to 776 of the family's 1533-position model. The record is from RNAcentral.
UACGUAGGGUGCAAGCGUUGUCCGGAAUUAUUGGGCGUAAAGAGCUCGUAGGCGGUUUGUCGCGUCGAAUGUGAAAACCCGGGGCUCAACCCCGGGCCUGCAUUCGAUACGGGCAGACUAGAGUUCGGUAGGGGGAGUCUGGGAAUUCCUGGUGUAGCGGUGAAAUGCGCAGAUAUCAGGAGGAACACCGGUGGCGAAGGCGGGACUCUGGGCCGAUACUGACGCUGAGGAGCGAAAGCGUGGGGAGCAAACAGG